This 368-nucleotide ribosomal RNA is filed under the name uncultured bacterium. RNAcentral describes it as "bacterial SSU rRNA". It matches the Rfam family "Bacterial small subunit ribosomal RNA", at positions 29 to 422 of the family's 1533-position model. The record is from RNAcentral.
AACGAACGCUGGCGGCAUGCCUAACACAUGCAAGUCGAGCGCCCGUAGCAAUACGGGAGCGGCGCACGGAUGAGUAACGCGUGGGAACCUGCCCAGAGGUCUGGGACAACCGCGGGAAACUGCGGCUGAUACCGGAUGAUUCCUGAGGGACAAAGAUUAUUGCCUUUGGAGGGGCCCGCGUCGGAUUAGGUAGUUGGUGGGGUAACGGCUCACCAAGCCUAUGAUCCGUAACUGGUCUGAGAGGAUGACCAGUCACACUGGGACUGAGACACGGCCCAGACUCCUACGGGAGGCAGCAGUGGGGAGUAUUGGACAAAUGGGGGCAACCCUGAUCCAGCAAUGCCGCGUGGGUGAUGAAGGCCUGGUGU